UGGCUCAGUGGUAGAGUGCUUGCCUUGCAUGCAUGAGGCCCUGGGUUCAUUUCCUAG
Molecule: transfer RNA, 57 nt
Filed under: Dipodomys ordii (Ord's kangaroo rat)
Lineage: Eukaryota; Metazoa; Chordata; Mammalia; Rodentia; Heteromyidae
Rfam family: tRNA
About the family: Transfer RNA (tRNA) molecules are approximately 80 nucleotides in length. Their secondary structure includes four short double-helical elements and three loops (D, anti-codon, and T loops).
Source: Rfam by way of RNAcentral